UUUGGUUAAGUUAGAAAGGGCGCACGGUGGAUGCCUUGACACUAGGAGUCGAUGAAGGACGGGACUAACGCCGAUAUGCUUCGGGGAGCUGUAAGUAAGCUUUGAUCCGAAGAUUUCCGAAUGGGGAAACCCACCAUACGUAAUGGUAUGGUAUCCUUAUCUGAAUACAUAGGGUAAGGAAGACAGACCCAGGGAACUGAAACAUCUAAGUACCUGGAGGAAGAGAAAGCAAAUGCGAUUUCCUGAGUAGCGGCGAGCGAAACGGAACAUAGCCCAAACCAAGAGGCUUGCCUCUUGGGGUUGUAGGACAUUCUAUACGGAGUUACAAAGGAACGAGGUAGACGAAGCGACCUGGAAAGGUCCGUCGUAGAGGGUAACAACCCCGUAGUCGAAACUUCGUUCUCUCUUGAAUGUAUCCUGAGUACGGCGGAACACGUGAAAUUCCGUCGGAAUCUGGGAGGACCAUCUCCCAAGGCUAAAUACUCCCUAGUGAUCGAUAGUGAACCAGUACCGUGAGGGAAAGGUGAAAAGCACCCCGGAAGGGGAGUGAAAGAGAUCCUGAAACCGUGUGCCUACAAAUAGUCAGAGCCCGUUAACGGGUGAUGGCGUGCCUUUUGUAGAAUGAACCGGCGAGUUACGAUCCCGUGCGAGGUUAAGCUGAAGAGGCGGAGCCGCAGCGAAAGCGAGUCUGAAUAGGGCGUUUAGUACGUGGUCGUAGACCCGAAACCAGGUGAUCUACCCAUGUCCAGGGUGAAGUUCAGGUAACACUGAAUGGAGGCCCGAACCCACGCACGUUGAAAAGUGCGGGGAUGAGGUGUGGGUAGCGGAGAAAUUCCAAUCGAACCUGGAGAUAGCUGGUUCUCCCCGAAAUAGCUUUAGGGCUAGCCUUAAGUGUAAGAGUCUUGGAGGUAGAGCACUGAUUGGACUAGGGGUCCUCAUCGGAUUACCGAAUUCAGUCAAACUCCGAAUGCCAAUGACUUAUCCUUAGGAGUCAGACUGCGAGUGAUAAGAUCCGUAGUCAAAAGGGAAACAGCCCAGACCGCCAGCUAAGGUCCCAAAGUGUGUAUUAAGUGGAAAAGGAUGUGGAGUUGCUUAGACAACUAGGAUGUUGGCUUAGAAGCAGCCACCAUUUAAAGAGUGCGUAAUAGCUCACUAGUCGAGUGACUCUGCGCCGAAAAUGUACCGGGGCUAAAUACACCACCGAAGCUGCGGAUUGAUACCAAUGGUAUCAGUGGUAGGGGAGCGUUCUAAGGACAGUGAAGUCAGACCGGAAGGACUGGUGGAGUGCUUAGAAGUGAGAAUGCCGGUAUGAGUAGCGAAAGACGGGUGAGAAUCCCGUCCACCGAAUGCCUAAGGUUUCCUGAGGAAGGCUCGUCCGCUCAGGGUUAGUCAGGACCUAAGCCGAGGCCGACAGGCGUAGGCGAUGGACAACAGGUUGAUAUUCCUGUACCACCUCUUUAUCGUUUGAGCAAUGGAGGGACGCAGAAGGAUAGAAGAAGCGUGCGAUUGGUUGUGCACGUCCAAGCAGUUAGGCUGAUAAGUAGGCAAAUCCGCUUAUCGUAAAGGCUGAGCUGUGAUGGGGAAGCUCCUUAUGGAGCGAAGUCUUUGAUUCCCCGCUGCCAAGAAAAGCUUCUAGCGAGAUAAAAGGUGCCUGUACCGCAAACCGACACAGGUAGGCGAGGAGAGAAUCCUAAGGUGUGCGAGAGAACUCUGGUUAAGGAACUCGGCAAAAUGACCCCGUAACUUCGGGAGAAGGGGUGCUUUCUUAACGGAAAGCCGCAGUGAAUAGGCCCAAGCGACUGUUUAGCAAAAACACAGCUCUCUGCGAAGCCGUAAGGCGAAGUAUAGGGGGUGACACCUGCCCGGUGCUGGAAGGUUAAGGAGAGGGGUUAGCGUAAGCGAAGCUCUGAACUGAAGCCCCAGUAAACGGCGGCCGUAACUAUAACGGUCCUAAGGUAGCGAAAUUCCUUGUCGGGUAAGUUCCGACCCGCACGAAAGGUGUAACGAUUUGGGCACUGUCUCAACCAGAGACUCGGUGAAAUUAUAGUACCUGUGAAGAUGCAGGUUACCCGCGACAGGACGGAAAGACCCCGUGGAGCUUUACUGUAGCCUGAUAUUGAAUUUUGGUACAGUUUGUACAGGAUAGGCGGGAGCCAUUGAAACCGGAGCGCUAGCUUCGGUGGAGGCGCUGGUGGGAUACCGCCCUGACUGUAUUGAAAUUCUAACCUACGGGUCUUAUCGACCCGGGAGACAGUGUCAGGUGGGCAGUUUGACUGGGGCGGUCGCCUCCUAAAGUGUAACGGAGGCGCCCAAAGGUUCCCUCAGAAUGGUUGGAAAUCAUUCGUAGAGUGCAAAGGCAUAAGGGAGCUUGACUGCGAGACCUACAAGUCGAGCAGGGACGAAAGUCGGGCUUAGUGAUCCGGUGGUU
This 2428-nucleotide ribosomal RNA is filed under the name Bacillus cereus. RNAcentral's name for it is "bacterial LSU rRNA". It matches the Rfam family "Bacterial large subunit ribosomal RNA", at positions 1 to 2428 of the family's 2925-position model. Lineage: Bacteria; Bacillati; Bacillota; Bacilli; Caryophanales; Bacillaceae. The record is from RNAcentral.